RNAcentral lists this ribosomal RNA (465 nucleotides) under Vreelandella stevensii. Its description in RNAcentral is "partial 16S ribosomal RNA". It matches the Rfam family "Bacterial small subunit ribosomal RNA", at positions 338 to 795 of the family's 1533-position model. Lineage: Bacteria; Pseudomonadati; Pseudomonadota; Gammaproteobacteria; Oceanospirillales; Halomonadaceae. The record is from RNAcentral.
CCUACGGGGGGCUGCAGUGGGGAAUAUUGGACAAUGGGCGAAAGCCUGAUCCAGCCAUGCCGCGUGUGUGAAGAAGGCCUUCGGGUUGUAAAGCACUUUCAGUGGGGAAGAAAGCCUUGGGGCUAAUACCCUCGAGGAAGGACAUCACCCACAGAAGAAGCACCGGCUAACUCCGUGCCAGCAGCCGCGGUAAUACGGAGGGGGCGAGCGUUAAUCGGAAUUACUGGGCGUAAAGCGCGCGUAGGCGGUCUGAUAAGCCGGUUGUGAAAGCCCCGGGCUCAACCUGGGAACGGCAUCCGGAACUGUCAGGCUAGAGUGCAGGAGAGGAAGGUAGAAUUCCCGGUGUAGCGGUGAAAUGCGUAGAGAUCGGGAGGAAUACCAGUGGCGAAGGCGGCCUUCUGGACUGACACUGACGCUGAGGUGCGAAAGCGUGGGUAGCAAACAGGAUUAGAUACCCUAGUAGUC